CGAGGACGCUCAUUUUGACCCGCAGGCAUUCGCGCCUCGGAGGAGCGCUCAUUAUGCAUGCGUGCGAUCAUUUAAGAUUCAGGCCUGCUUUGAGACUCGCGUAUCUGCCAGCACCGGGGCAUUUCUGCACACACUUCCUGUGCAUUCCCCGCACGAAGGAGUCAAGCCCGCGUUCCCGCACUGGCUGAGAGCUGUCUGCUGGCGCCCGUACCAGGGGCUUGAUAGAGAAGUACUGCAUGAGCGGAUGAACGGACGGAUGGAUGGAUGGAUGGACGGACGGACGAACGAGUAAAUUCCCCGGACUCUUCAAGCCAGUUUUCUGUUCCUCAAGGGUGGCGCUCAGGAAGCCUCCCCAGACAGUGCUGGACUCUUGGCUGAUCAGCAAAACAUCGGGAAGCAAGAGAUCAGAGCUGAUCCAAUGAAACGAGGCAGCACCCCGGGAAAACUCCAACGAUGCCAAAGAGAAGGUAGGCAAAGAAGGACAGCUCUGAUCUGCAGGGAUUCAGAGGAGGGCAUCCCAGGUAAGGGGCAACACGUGAGC
RNAcentral lists this long non-coding RNA (541 nucleotides) under Ursus maritimus (polar bear). RNAcentral describes it as "lncRNA (ENSUMAG00000021696.1)". Lineage: Eukaryota; Metazoa; Chordata; Mammalia; Carnivora; Ursidae. The record is from RNAcentral.